Molecule: transfer RNA, 74 nt
Filed under: Omnitrophica WOR_2 bacterium GWC2_45_7
Lineage: Bacteria; Pseudomonadati; Candidatus Omnitrophota
Description: tRNA-Val
Rfam family: tRNA
About the family: Transfer RNA (tRNA) molecules are approximately 80 nucleotides in length. Their secondary structure includes four short double-helical elements and three loops (D, anti-codon, and T loops).
Source: RNAcentral
GGACCCAUAGCUCAGUUGGUUAGAGCGUCACGUUGACAUCGUGAAGGUCAGAGGUUCGAAUCCUCUUGGGUCCA